RNAcentral lists this ribosomal RNA (406 nucleotides) under uncultured bacterium. RNAcentral describes it as "partial 16S ribosomal RNA". It matches the Rfam family "Bacterial small subunit ribosomal RNA", at positions 29 to 526 of the family's 1533-position model. The record is from RNAcentral.
AUUGAACGCUGGCGGCAGGCCUAACACAUGCAAGUCGAACGAGAGGCGGACGGGUGAGUAAUGUAUGGGAAAGUGAGCGAUGGAGGGGGAUAACGAAUGGAAACGGUAGCUAAUACCGCAUACCAGCGGAUGGGCCGAGAUGGGAUUAGGUAGGAGGUGGGGUAACGGCUUACCUAGGCGACGAUCCCUAGCUGGUCUGAGAGGAUGACCAGCCACACUGGAACUGAGACACGGUCCAGACUCCUACGGGAGGCAGCAGUGGGGAAUAUUGCACAAUGGGCGCAAGCCUGAUGCAGCCAUGCCGCGUGUAUGAAGAAGGCCUUCGGGUUGUAAAGUACUUUCAGCGAGGAGGCGUUACUCGCAGAAGAAGCACCGGCUAACUCCGUGCCAGCAGCCGCGGUAAUUC